GGCCUUUCCUGAGGCGGCGCUGCGGGGAGCUGUGUGCUGGCAACAAAAGCAGUUAAGAGAUGAGUUGGUUUCUGGCUUCUGGAAUCUUCAGGCUGAGCUCUGUGCUGUUACCUUGCAAGCAGGAAGAUGUCACAUGAAUUCUGACAGAUAUGUUAUCAGAUGACUUUCUCCACUGACUUCAAGCUGUGCACAGCCAACAGCAGACUGUUGAUUUCCAUAAGUAUGGGUGUUUAAGAAGGUUGAGAACAGUGUGAAAUGUGGAUUUCUAAUGCACCUGGAAAUGCUUUCCUGGCCCUUCCUGCUUCCCAGAAGCACUGCUUGAUUCUAAUAUGCUCGGGGUGAAGUCCUGUGACUUCUAAUGCCAUGCUGAAAGGAAGAAGUCAAGUAAGAUGGAGUUAGAGUUUAGAUGAAAAUGUGAAUAAUGCCUGAAUGAAGUUCAAGUGAGAGUGUGGCUGAGAAGUAGCCCUUCAGAUGCUGUUAGAACUCAGUAUGAAUAUUUAAGUUCAUAGUUAAUAUUCAUAUAGUUAAUAUUGCAAACAAAAUUUGAUUACAGGAUUAAAACACAUAGGAAAACUUGUUUUCUUGUCUAAAUUAGUGUUUAUAAUAAUGCUGGAAGCUGUUCUGCUCACUUUCAAUGCAGUAUUUGUAUAAAUAAAAUCUUGGAUUUGUAAUUCCAAUGGCUGUGUUUUGUUGUGUUGUGUUUUGUUAGGCUGUGUAAAUGGUAGCACCAUGAUCUUGCUGCUUGACCUGCACAGAAGUCGCAGCAAGCCUUCAAUAUUUGCUCAGUUCAUCCAUCUUUGAGUAGAAGUCUAUACACUUUGCUGCAUUUAAUGUGGACCUCUGAUGUAAAACUUGCCCAGUGUUAUGCCUACAGCUACAUCAUUGCUAGGAAGACAAGUAAGAGAAGUCCCUAGUUGGAGCAGCUGUAUCGGUCUUUACACUCAUUUUUGCAAUGAGGCAGUUAGACUGGAACCCCUUGAGCUGCUUCCUCCCAGCACUGAAAACAGUUGUCUACUUCUCUGUAACUGCAGUCCCAGGAAGCUAAAGUAGAAGCUUCAGACUCAGAGUGGAGACUUCAUUCUUCGUUAGUGCUAAUGCUGUUCUCAUCACUGAGGUCAAAUGGAAAUACUGCGUUUGGCUCUAUGCACAAUGCAGACUUGCCUAAGCAAAGAAGAAAUCAGUUCAGACCCUAGGAGGCUUGGCAACCUUUGGCCUGUAUUUGUAAGGAGUGGAGAGAAAAAAGAAAGCUGUUGCAUAGAUUACUGAGUAAUUCAGUUUUGUAAGUUAGCACUUCUGCAUUAGAUUGUGAUUCUGUCCCUGCCAAAUUUGUGUCAACAACUGUGACAUGAUAAAGAAAACAUUACUUUCUUGAGGGAAAGAAUUCUGUUUAUGCUUUAACCUGGACUGAUGCUACAGCUGCAGAGGAGCGAUGUCUCCAAUGUGCUCUCAUAAGGAUAGAGGCUUGGUGCUGUGUGGGGCCUUAGGUACAGCACUGAGGCUCACCACUGGAAAGUCAACUGAAAGACUUCCUUCUGAUCACAACUCUUAACAUUGGAAGCUUUCACUUGAAAUGAAAUACCUCUAUUAUUGCAACUGACUUAAGAUAAGCUUUUUUCAGACUGACCAAACAUGAAAAUAUACUCAAGACUAAAGACUGACUUACCAUGUUU
Long non-coding RNA from Gallus gallus (chicken), 1670 nucleotides. RefSeq lists it as uncharacterized. The transcript has 6 exons. The record is from RefSeq and is a predicted model, not a curated record. NCBI's taxonomy places the organism in Eukaryota, Metazoa, Chordata, Aves, Galliformes, Phasianidae.